This 322-nucleotide ribosomal RNA is filed under the name uncultured Actinomycetes bacterium. Its description in RNAcentral is "bacterial SSU rRNA". It matches the Rfam family "Bacterial small subunit ribosomal RNA", at positions 30 to 351 of the family's 1533-position model. Lineage: Bacteria; Bacillati; Actinomycetota; Actinomycetes. The record is from RNAcentral.
AUUGAACGCUGGCGGCAUGCCUUACACAUGCAAGUCGAACGAUGAUGAGGAGCUUGCUUCUCUGAUUAGUGGCGAACGGGUGAGUAACACGUGAGCAAUCUGCCCUUGACUCUGGGAUAAGCGUUGGAAACGACGUCUAAUACCGGAUACGACCCUUGGAGGCAUCUCUGGGGGUGGAAAGAAUUUUGGUCAAGGAUGAGCUCGCGGCCUAUCAGCUAGUUGGUGAGGUAAUGGCUCACCAAGGCGACGACGGGUAGCCGGCCUGAGAGGGUGACCGGCCACACUGGGACUGAGACACGGCCCAGACUCCUACGGGUGGCUG